This 313-nucleotide small nuclear RNA is filed under the name Castor canadensis (American beaver). Its description in RNAcentral is "7SK RNA (ENSCCNG00000005714.1)". It matches the Rfam family "7SK RNA". Rfam says of the family: 7SK was discovered as an abundant small nuclear RNA in the mid-70s but a possible function has only recently been suggested. Lineage: Eukaryota; Metazoa; Chordata; Mammalia; Rodentia; Castoridae. The record is from RNAcentral.
GGAUGUGAGGGUGAUUUGGCUGCCCGUUCAUUUGUUACUCCAUUGAUCACCAGGAUUGGUUUGGCUGAUCUGGCUGGCUAAGAGGAUGUCCCCUUUCUCCCUCGCUGCUCUAUGUGCAUCCCUCCUGAAGCUGUGUGCUUGAUCGAAGAAGACGACCAUCCCUGAUAGCCAAGGACCAUUCUUCACUCAAGGGUAUACAAGUAACUGUGCUCCCCUGCUAUAUCCUCUAAACAAGCUCUCAAAGUUGAACUCAGCUGCCACACUAGGGGCAGAAUCAGCUUAUGAUUUUUCAAAACCAGAAACACUAUUGUCU